CGGUAAUUCCAGCUCCAAUAGCGUAUACUAAAGUUGUUGCAGUUAAAAAGCUCGUAGUUGGAUUUCUGCGGGGACGGAGCGGCCGGACGCAACUUGCGUCUCGAGCUAGCGCUUUCCCCGCAUCCUGCCGCGAACCGUGCUACCAUUAGCUUGGUGGCGCUGGGGAUCGGCUCGAUUACUUUGAGAAAAAUAGAGUGUUCAAAGCAGGCCACACGCCUUGAAUAAGUUAGCAUGGAAUAAUGACUAAGGACUUCGGUUCUAUUUUGUUGGUGUUCGGGACUGAAGUAAUGAUUGAUAGGGACAGUUGGGGCGGUCUGUAUUCCAAAGCGAGAGGUGAAGUUCUUAGACCUUCGGAAGACAAACAGCUGCGAAAGCGUUCCGCAAGGAUGUUCCCUUUGAUCAAGAACGAAAGUUGGGGGAUCGAAGACGAUCAGAUACCGUCGUAGUCUCAACUAUAAACUAUACCAGCUAGGGAUCGGUCAACGUUUAAUCAUUCGACUUGAUCGGCACCUUAUGAGAAAUCAAAGCAUCUGGGUUCCGGGGGGAGUAUGGUCGCAAGGCUGAAACUUAAAGGAAUUGACGGAAGGGCACCACCAGCCGUGGAGCCUGUGGCUUAAUUUGACUCAACACGGGAAAACUUACCAGGUCCAGACAUAGUAAGGAUUGACAGAUUGAUAGCUCUUUCUUGAUUCUGUGGGUGGUGGUGCAUGGCCGUUCUUAGUUGGUGGAGUGAUUUGUCUGGUUAAUUCCGUUAACGAACGAGACCCCAGCCUGCUAAAUAGCGCGGUUGAGCUUUGCUCGAUGCGAGCUUCUUAGAGGGACUAUGAUGCGCGAUAGCACAUGGAAGUUUGGGGCAAUAACAGGUCUGUGAUGCCCUUAGAUGUUCUGGGCCGCACACGGGCUACACUGGCGCCUGCAACGAGCAUAUCAGCUGGCCCGAGAGGGUCUUGGCUAAUCUUUUGAACCGGCGCCGUGCUUGGGAUUGACCAUUGCAAUUGUUGGUCAUGCAACGAGGAAUGCCUUGUAAACGCGAGUCAUCAGCUCGCAUUGAAUACGUCCCUGCCCUUUGUACACACCGCCCGUCGCUCCUACCGAUGAAUGUUCCGAUGAAAUUUUCGGAGAGCGCCAGAGAACGGGGCUCUGCCUUGCAGAUCUGGAGGCUCAAAGUCACUUAAAUCUGAACAUUUCGAGGAAGGAGAAGUCGUAACAAGGUAGCCGU
This 1219-nucleotide ribosomal RNA is filed under the name uncultured Rhizaria. RNAcentral describes it as "SSU rRNA". It matches the Rfam family "Eukaryotic small subunit ribosomal RNA", at positions 577 to 1806 of the family's 1831-position model. The record is from RNAcentral.